AAAGCAGGGUGGGCGAUCGCCUUCCGGCAGCCGCCGGACGGAGGAAAGUCCGAACACCUCAGGGCAGCGUGCUUCCUAACGGGAAGGGGGGGUGACCCUACGGAAAGUGCCACAGAAAAGAUACCGCCUUCGGUUCCGUCACCGGGACCGCGGGUAAGGGUGAAAUGGCGGGGUAAGAGCCCACCGCUUCGAUGGUGACAUCGGAGGCACGGUAAACCCCACGCGGUGCAAGGCCAAAUAGGCUCCGUACGAGUCGGCCCGGCUCAUUCGCCGGCCCCCGGGCCGGGCGGAAGCGGAGCGGGUAGGCCGCCCGAGGGCCGGGGCGACCCGGCUCCCAGAGGAAUGAUCGCCACCCCGUCCUUUCGGGCGGGGUACAGAAUUCGGCUUACAGCCCUGCUUUUCAG
Molecule: RNase P RNA, 404 nt
Filed under: Acidobacteriota bacterium
Lineage: Bacteria; Pseudomonadati; Acidobacteriota
Description: RNase P RNA component class A
Rfam family: Bacterial RNase P class A
About the family: Ribonuclease P (RNase P) is a ubiquitous endoribonuclease, found in archaea, bacteria and eukarya as well as chloroplasts and mitochondria.
Source: RNAcentral